AGAAAAAUUCCCAAAAAAUAAUGAAUUCCCACAAAAAUCCCAACAAUUUGUGACACCCUUCCCCUUUACACUUCUCCUUCUUUUAUUUAUUUUCUUCCUCUUCUUCCUCCUCA
RNAcentral lists this non-coding RNA (113 nucleotides) under Heterosigma akashiwo. The record is from RNAcentral. Lineage: Eukaryota; Raphidophyceae; Chattonellales; Chattonellaceae.